GGCAUCUUGAGUACACACAGGCAGGUUUGCCAAUGAGAGGCUGGAAACGCCUGACUUCACGCGAACAUGUCGGCCAAUGGGAGAGCUCGGGAGCCAGACGCCGCCAAGCUUGUGCGGGGGAGAGAGGAGCGAAAGCCAGUCUGACAGAGGCGACUGUUGGGGCUGCUGUGGAAGGGGCGAGGGGGUAGGCUGUGUCGUAGCAGCCGGCGCGGACGGCGUUGCUGAGUCUGGGUAUGAACUUUUAGUUUCUGCUAAGAUGAUGAAAGACAGUUAUGAUGGCUGCAUUCACUUAUGAAGAAAAUAUUUCCGUAAUUGCACUACCAGUGUCUACCAUCAACUCACCAACUAAGAUUUUGCCAAAAACAUUUGCACCAAUAAAUAUGAAUGUUGGACCCCAAAUGAUUUUAAGCACACCGCAAAGGCUGACUAAUUCAGGGAAUGUUCUGAUUGGGAGUCCUUGCACUACAGCACCAGCUAUGAUCAUGCAGAUGCAUAUAACUGACAUCACUGGCUGGGUCCCAGGGGACAGAAAAAGAACUCAAGACUGUAUGGAAUCAGAUUUUUCAGAAAGUAAAAGAAGCAAAAAAGGAGAUAAAAAUGGAAAAGGUUUGAGGCAUUUUUCAAUGAAAGUAUGUGAAAAGGUCCAGCGUAAAGGAACAACAUCUUAUAAUGAAGUUGCAGAUGAGCUGGUAUUGGAGUUUACACAUUGUAAUAGCCAUUUAGCUACACAUUCAGCUUAUGAUCAGAAGAAUAUUAGGCGGAGAGUUUAUGAUGCCCUCAAUGUAUUGAUGGCCAUGAACAUUAUUUCAAAGGAGAAAAAAGAAAUCAAAUGGAUAGGUCUUCCUACAAACUCUGCUCAAGAAUGUCAAAACCUAGAGAUAGAGAAGCAACGACGUAUAGAACAAAUAAAACAGAAGAGAGCUCAGCUGCAAGACCUUCUACUGCAGCAAAUUGCUUUCAAAAACUUGGUACAAAGAAAUCAACAAAAGGAACAACAGACUUGGGGUGCUCCAGCUUUGAAUUCUAUAAUACAGCUGCCUUUUCUAGUAAUAAACACAAGCAAAAGGACAGUUAUAGAUUGCAGCAUCUCUCCUGACAAACUUGAAUACCUUUUUAAUUUUGAUAGUACUUUUGAGAUCCAUGAUGACACUGAAGUAUUAAAGCAAAUGGGAAUGUCACUUGGCCUAGAGGCAGGCAAAUGCUCAUCAGCAGACCUAAGAGCUGCUAAAUCAUUAGUGCCUAAAGCUUUAGAAAACUAUGUCACAGAUAUGUCUACAGGAAUUUAUUGGAUGAACCAGGAACUAGUUUUAAAUUCAUCUCAAGGAGGUUCCGCUUUGGUCACAACUGAGAAUACUGCUGGUUUUAAAACAAGAUAACGCAUACAACUCUGGGUUGCUCUGGAUACUUGAAUUGUUAUUAUUCCUCCCUUCACCGCUGCCACCAUUAGAUACUGUUUCUGUUCAGCCUUGGUAAUUACCUUGCCCUCCCUUCUGGGGCAGAAUGGAUCUCUUCUCCCGCCAACAUGUUAAGCCCAUGCAAACAUAGCCGACUGAAGCUGCGUACACUGUCUGUCAGGACAUCCAUUUACCUAGGCCAGCUCUCGUGCAUGGGUUGGUCCUCAGUUUGCAUGGAGUGUCAACACGUGUGUGUAUGCAUUUUUUUUUGUAGCCCUCACCAUUGAGCUACAAGUUGGGGAAGGAAGCUGGAAGCGGUUCUAGUAGGUUGGUUGCAUGGGGGCCUUCUGGGUCAAACAACUUCAUGAACCAGGGUGGCUGCUUGUGACAGUCUUGAGUGUCCCAGUGACUCCUGGCAACUCUGGGACACUCAUUAAAGGCUGUGACAGAUAAAAGUGGGAUGUCCUACUCCAGCAAGCUUUGACAAGCACAUGGUUAGUGUGCAACUGCACAUCUGCCUUCUGGGUCCAUGUGCAGAAUGGUUGAAUUGGCCCACAGUACUUUUUCUUCAGUGGAAAAAGACCUCUUUCAGAAAGGUCUGACAUAGUGAACAACAUACAGUUUUGCUUUCUGUAUCAUAGGUAUUACUUCCUUAGUUGUCCUCUUUUCCCCCCAAUGCAUCACAUAAGAAGUUAAUUGUCUUCCCUCUGGCCAAUUUUCAGGAUUAUCUGCUAAAGAACAUAUAUGUUUAAAGCCACCAUGUCUGAUAAGACUAUGUGACAUGGAAGCUAUUGAUGUAAGUUGUAUUCUAAUUGGGUUGCUGUGUACAAAAGUAGUAUAGAUUCAGACAGGCAGAUAUAUUUCCAGCCUGAAGUCUUCAAUUUUAACUAUUCUAAAUUGCAUAUUAGUAUUUCAACAGAUGAUCAUUUUUUCCCUUCUGCUGUCCAUUAUUAAGCAGUGGAACAAUGGUCCCUGUGUAACUGCUAGUUUAAGUCAGAAAUGAAGAAAGUAUAUUGAAAGAGUUUAAGUUUUUUUAAAGAUGACAGUACAAAAUAUUGAUAUUUUAACUGAUCUGUGGCAUUUCUUUACUCUUGUUUUUUAAAUGAAAUGAUAAUGUGAGGUUAAAUGAUAGAAAAAAUGUAAAUUCUUAAGUUACUAUCAAAUCCAAGCAGCUUUAGUUUACAAAUAUAUUCUAAAUCAUAAUAAACUUUCUAAAUGUAUGCUAGACCCAUGAAAUAUUAAUAAAUUAUUUAAAUAAAAUGCAACACUUCAAAGUUUUGUUCUAAUUGGAUUGCUGAAUAGCUGAAAAGGACUGAAAAGGAAAAUAUUUGAGAAAAUUACUGAUCUCAGGUUUUAAAAUGAUCUAUAAAGCCAUAAUAAUCUUUGCUGCAAACCAUAUAGUGCUGAUAGGGAAAAAAGAAACUGGUGUCUUGAAGAGUAGCAGUGAAUGUGACCAUAGUAAUGACUACAAUCAUCUAAAGAGCCUUUUUUCUUUUUUUUAUACGUGUGAUAAAUGAAGUAGUUUCAACCAAAAGUACUGUGAUCUGAUUCUAGGAAAAUUAAAAGGAAUGUUUUAGUUUAAGAUGCUAUAUACUUUUUUUUUUUUACAGAGUAUUAACAUGAAAAAGAACAAGUCUAUUUUUAGUCUUAGGAGUAUAUUGCCACUUGGGAGCUAGCAAAAGUCUGUUCCAAGUUUUUAAAUUGCUUACUGUGCGAGAUUUGGCAGACCAUUAGUCAGUCUUUCAUAUAUCUCAAAUGCAAGAUUUCGCCAAGUUCCAGGCAUAGUGCUUUGAAUAGAGCUCUAAUUGAACAACCCUUACUAUGUCAGAAUGCUGGCCAAAUGAGGAGGUGCCCAUUUUCUUUCAUUCAAAGUGUGAAGGUAAGGUAGAAUGAAAAUGAGGUCACUUUGGCCUUCACUCCAGCUUUCUAAACUGCUUUGUAGCUUCUGUGUAACUGAAGCAAAAACAGCACAUUAUGGUAGGAGAUACAUAUCUUUUUAAUGUGGUCCUGCCCAUUCACUGUAAACAGAGGGUUUGAGGGAUAAGUUCUCCCUGUUACGUUAUCCUUCCAGGACUUUUCUCCCAGUUGGCUUUUAGUACCAGAAGUAAACUGCCAGGGAAAAGUAGCAAAGAAGCUGAGGACAGGAUGAAGGUCCCAUGAGAAUCCAUCUGCAUGCCCCCUUGGCCUUUUAAAUUAUACCCCCAAAAUAUGCAGAGCCGUAUUUAUAAAGAUGGUGUUCUACCUUCAUCAUUUCAGCCUCAUAGCAAGUAAAAUAUAACAUAAUAUGCUGCCAGUUGGAUUUCUAGGGGGAAAUUAUUCUAAUAUAGCAUUUGCUCCAUAUCUAAACCUGCUGAAUUCAGGAAACAUGAACAAAUCCACUGCUCUGCCCCUCUACACGGGGGGUUGUGUCUAAUGUACGUGUGAUUGUGAAGCAGAUUUCUGCUUGAGCAACAGGACUUCACCUUCCUAUCCUCCUCACAGUCUUCUGCAUGCUCUCAAAAUUCGUUCUGGAGGAUUGAGGGAUCAUCCAGAGUAGAUUUUAGGUGUGUGCAGGGUCUGCAGAGGAAAAGUGAAGUCCCCUGUGUGAGCAGAAAACUAUUUGCAGAGUGUUGGAUUCUGCCCAGAAGCUAGAAUGAUAUUAAGCUACAUGCAGGUGUUCAAACGUUCCUUACAGAUUUGUAGAGCAGGUCUGCAGACCCGUAUCUAUGUGUACAAAUGGACAUAAUAAUAGUGCAGGGUGGAAAAUAGGUCUAACCUUUCAAAGUUAGCUAUCUGUAUCUUCAUUCAGGUGUUUGUGUUUACAUAUACAUGCCUGCAUUGCGUGUGCUCUAUUUACACACACAGCCUAGUUUCAUUUAGAAAGGGCAGUAGGGGCAGUCAACCUCUUUCCUGUGUUUACGCCCACAGACAAUUCCUCAGGAAUAAUAUUUGGUGGUUAUGAGGUAUAAAAAAUAACUGCAACAAAUUAUCUUAAAAUACACCUUAAAUAACACCCAGAAUUUAAUCAGAGUAUAUCCAGGAGCAGGCCUUUGAACGUCGUCGUGGGUUUGUUUUUUAUGCUUCCAGGUUGGAAAUGAGAAUCAGUUUUAUGUAUAAAUCUUCCUCCUUGCAAAAAGAAAAUCGCACACAUGGCAUUCGUACAAUUCAUGUAUGUGUUUCUGAAUCUAGUAGAUUGUUUUGGGUGCACAGGCUUAUUUCCAGGUCUUUGGAAUUACAUAAUAUGACCUGUAAUCAACAUAAUUACCUGUAUGCAAUUUUAUAUCUCAGACAUUCGAUAUAUUUAAGGGAAAGGGUGGGGAACCUAUGGCCCUCCAGCUCUUGCUGGACUAAAACUCCCAUCAUCCCUGACAAUUACCCAUGCUGCCUGGGACUGAUGGGGAGUUGUGGCCGUAGUAGCAGCUGGGGUACAAGUUCCACAUCCCUGUUGUAGGGCAAAUUUUUUUGAAGUGAAAGAUUACAUUAAAUAACUAGGCUUGCAGAUUUUGUGGUUCAAGAAGACGUUUCCUUUACAUAUGUGCCAAGACAGUCUAAAUACUGUGCCAGGAAAAGUUGAAUUUCAUUCUCUCGUUCAUAUUUGAAAUAUUUACUGUUCUGCAUUUAAUUUAGUCUGGUUUUGUUGGAGAAAGGCACAAAGUUAGAUAGGGCAUUAUGGCCCUACCUCCACCACUGAAGCUCUUAUUCAGCAAGUAUUCUGGUUACUGAGACCUGAGUAGGCAUUUAUUCACAACUUUCAAGCAUGUCUGCAUAACCACAAGGGCUGGAAAGUUGUUUUUAUGGUGUGUAUUUUUAAUGAGAGCCUUGCAAAGCUGAAUUCUGUACCUCAUAACCAUAUUCUGUGAUUUUUCCCUACAAACAUACACUCUUAUGAAA
RNA transcript from Rhineura floridana, 5264 nucleotides. It is a transcript of the gene named transcription factor Dp-2, with no coding region annotated. The record is from RefSeq and is a predicted model, not a curated record. Lineage: Eukaryota; Metazoa; Chordata; Lepidosauria; Squamata; Rhineuridae. The transcript has 13 exons.